UCUAUAUUUAAAAAUUUUUAGUUUUUAAUUAUAUAUUCCACGUAAAAGGGAUAUAAAAAAGAGGGUGAAUAGUAUAUCCCAUCACUUAUCAUAUCCCAUAUUUGGUUGAACAUAGGAUAUGAUAAAUGAGGGGAUAACUUAUCCUAUCCCAUUACCAACUAAAUAUGAGAUAAGAUAUGUUAUCUCUCCUCUUAUUCUAUCUCAUGCUAUAUCCGACCAACCAAACAUGACCUUAGGAUUUUUGAGUUGUUUAAAGUUUUUAGUUUCUAUCAAUUUCUUGGUCGUUCACAUUGCGAUUAUCUUUGAGGUGGGUAGAAUCUUAACAUGAGAGAUUUAAUUUGUUUUUCUUAAAUAUCAUCUUAAUAAAAUUUUUUGAAAUGAUUUCUAUUAUAGUAAAUUGUUUUAUAUUUAUAAUUCUUGGGCAGCAUUUGAUAAUUGAUUUUUUCUAAUAUGAUCAAUUUAUUAUGUAUUUUUAGAUAUACGUUCAGUGAUUUUAUUAUCUUAAUAAACCAUGUUAUAAAUUGAAUUACUGAAUAUUGAUUCCCCUGUCAAUAUGGAGAAAGUAUAAAGAUAUUUUAUUGAUUAUCAGUAUUUGGACACUGAUUAUUGUUAGUUAAGUCCAACAUUUCUUACUUAAUAUAUUAGUGAUAUCUGUAUAUGUACAUGUUUGAUGUUUGGGCACUUAUCCCAUGCUUUUUAUUAAUAUUUGGUUACUUAGUCCUGAUGGAUAUUGAUGGUUAGACCUUAGUUGGUGGAGGUGAAGGGGCUUCCCCAUGCAGGAUAUUUUAGCAAUAAACCAUUGAUUUUGAAGAUGAGCAUGUUUAAGAAUUAUGACGAUGGUUUUUUGCAUCUGCUUUUUUCAGAAAUGAAAUUUGAGAAACAGUUGAUUGAUUGCUACAUUGUUAGCAAUCUUUAUGUCUUGGUUCUAUUGCUUAGGCUGCUUAGUUCAAAUGCUUAUUUUAAGGUAUGGAAUUGACAAUUUAGGUCAUUUUAUGGUUGAGGAUGCGAUAGAGUGUGAUUUUUGUCCAGUGUUAGAGCAUUCUUUGUUGGAACAGUUUGUUCUUUCAUAAUUUUAAUGUUUUACUUUAAUUACUGUUGGUUGUAUUUAUUAUAUCUUGUUUCCAUUGUAUAAUUUAUUCUGUUAUUUCAGUUGAUGUUCAGUUUGUUUCUGUUUUGCUUAUCUGUAUGUUUGUGCCUUUGAUUAGCUUUGUGUAUUAACUGAGCUUAGCUUGGGAUAGGCAUGUCCAUCGCAUAUCUUUGGAUUUGGGCCGUGACAGGAGUAUCAGUGGAUCAUCUUUUUCUUCUUUGUCCAUUUGUGUGCGAGGCCCUCUGGCAUGUAUCAAUUCUCUUUUACUUUGGUCGAUUUAGUUGGGGAGAAACACCAGAAUCUUUGAGGAUAUAAAGGCUCUUGAAGUUUUUAUGGGGAGAGAUCUGUUACUUUUUCCUUUUAUAGGUAUCAUGUUCUUGACAGUUCAUUGGUACUCUGUUGAGUGUGAUUAUGUUGUGCUGGGUUUCUGAACUGCUAUGCAUCUAGGAAUUGUCUCCCCAUGCCCCUGGGUUUCUGGAGCUGAAGUUUUGAUGGGUGCUCUCUAGGUAUCAUGGAAAUAUGGAAUGGCUAGGAUAGGUGGAGCAUAUCAUGAUUAUGGAUUGAUAUGGUUAGAACUAAUUCUAGUCCAGCGGUUGCUGGUUUUCUGGAGGUAAAGGGACUUGCAUUCAUGAAGGCUUGAUUCUGGAAAAGACUUGUGGCUUUGAUAACUUUUCAGCUAUUGAUUAUUAAGCCUUAUUCAUCCUAGGCCUCAGAGGAAAAGAGGGCAUUGGAAAUUGGAUUCUUUGUUGCAGAAAAUCUUUGGCUUCUCUUCUAAGUGGAUUGCCCCUUCAGAUUAAUUUCUUGCUUAGCUAACCAAUCAACUGAUUAAUUGGCUAAGUGACUUUCUUUUAAACUAUGGGUUUUGGAAGAGAAGUGUAUGCUUGUUUAAGAGGUUCUGUAUCUCUUUAUAUAUUUAUUUUUGAUGGGUGAGGUUCUCUAUCUCUUCAUAUGACUUCUGUUCUCUGUUUUUUCUUUCUCUGAGGCUCACCUACAUUUUUUAUUUUACAUUCUAAAGGAUAACUUGUCCUUCUUUUUUGUCUUCUACUUCAUCUUCCUCUCUUUUCUAUUUUUACUUUUAGUUAAGAUUGCAAUUAAUUUUGUUCUUGAGCGUAGUGGGGCUUAAGUUAAGGUGCCUUACAUUAAUAUAUGAUUGAUCAAUUUGCUUAUUAAAAAGUAUUGAUCUUGUUUGCAAGUUAAAAAAAAAGAAGAAUAUUUAAGUUACUAAAGGAUGAGCAUCAUAAAUUGCCAACUAUUAUUAAUAUUUUCAUAUAUUUUGAAGCAAUUUAGUGGACAUUAAAAGCCUUAAGUAGCCAAGUCGCACUUUCCCUCUAUGCAGCUCUUCAAGCUUCAUGUGAUGUUUUGUAGGUAUUUCCUUUCAAGAUCUUAAACCCGGAUGAGUUCGAUAAUUUUGAGUGUUGUGACUAUUUUAGAGAGGUCAAGAAUGUUACACAAAGGUUUGGUAGCAAGAACUAAGUAGCACGAUAAGCAGAAGCUCACAUAACUCCACAAACCUGAUUUCAACCAAUUUGGUGUUUGCUAUCAGUUUAAGGGUCUAGAGGUGUCCAAAUGAGUGAAAUAGUUUUGAAAAAUCUUAUGCUCCUUGAAGAACAAAUUUGUCAACUUUAAUCAAAUUCUGAGGUUGUUUGCCCAAUCAGAUAAAUCACACAAGUUGGAGCAAAAUUCAGAAAACCUGCUGAAGCUAAAGGAAGUGAUUUUGAGCUUGACCUGAGAAGGCCCAAAUACCCUUAAAAAGACCCAAAGCCUCUUCCUAUUGGCUUAGGUUUUCAAGAGGACCCAUUUGGCUGAGAAGGGGACUCUUUCACACGUUUGAUGGGAGGAAUGAGGCAUACAAAGGGAGAGAAGAGUGGCAGCCAACUAGUUUUUUCGUUCAGUACAUUUAUGAAGAUUUCUUUGAGGGUUUUUUCCCCAAUCUUUACUUGAAUGGUGUUAAAAACUUGAUUAUCUUUGAUCUAGAACUUUUAGGUUUGCUUCUUAGACUUUAUUUUACUCUGUUUAAUAUGCAAGAACUCAAUUUUGGAUUGUCUAAUUCAACACAAUUUAUAAAGAUUCAAUAUUUUUAGGUCUAAUGAUUGCUUUCCAAUGCCCCUCCAUGCUUGGUUAAGUUAUUGGCUAUGAGGUUGACCAUGGGAUUCCAAACAUGAGAUUUGAAGUGUCCAAACAUAGAGAAUUAAUUAUCCCCAGAUCUUGUUUGUUAGAUUGCUUGGAGAAUUUAGAAAGUUAACUCUUUUCUUGUGCCUAAAUAGCUACUUUGCUAGAUAUGUGUCGAUAUCCCUACUUCUUAGCACUUGUGUUGAGAAAGUCUCUGUUUUAAUACUUGGUAAUAAUUAGGGUGGGAACUGCUUGGAGCAGCUGGGCUGUCCAGUGCAUUUGCAGCAAUGAGGUAUUUGAAAUGCCAAAAAAAAAAAAAAAAAAAAAAAACGAAGAAGGAAAAAAAAGGGAGAAAUCAGAGUCAAGGUCAUGUAAUUGAGUUUUAUGUUUGUUUCUGUAUAAUUUAGUAUACAAAAUUCUCACUGCAUAUUGGCAUUAUACAGAAAACUCUCUAAUGUUGACAUAAGUUUUUUGCUUAAUCUUUCAUUGAUUGGAUCAAGAAACUUGGAAAAGCAUUUGUUUGUUGAUUGUUCUGUUUGUUUCUUUUCUGCAAUUUUAAUACCAAACUUGGCAUAAAUACGGAGGCUAAAUUUUCUAACUUCAUCUAAACUGAACUUAGCAGGUAAAAAAACAGAACAAAGAAAAAAUUGUACACAUGAGCUGUAUCACUUAAUACAACCAAUAGAAUUUGUACUCUGGUUGCAAAUCUAACAAAAUACUUGAAUCCUUUUUAAGCCUCCACGAAUCUCAAGAAGUCUGAUUUAUCAUUUUGAUUGUUCAAUUCUCUUAAUGGAAUACUUUAGCUCCUGUUGAAUAUUCAUUCUUGAAGGUGACAAAACAAUGUCCUUCCAAACUGACCCAGCUUGCGAUGCUGGGUUUGGGCACUUGUAUAGUUCGGAUAUUGAGUUCGCUUCAUCAUUCAACAUGGCUACUGCCUUUAAACAGCUUAUCUCAUCUGGAUCAACCAGCAAAUUCCUUUCUCUGUCUUUCCAUCCUAUCAGCUUCACAAACAUUAUUGUGUCAGUAUCACGUAUUUAAUGAAACAUUAGCAGUAUGAGUAUGAGCUACUCGUUGGUAGAAGUUUUGGCCAAGGUUCCAUUCCUGAAUGUCAUACCUAAUUACGGGUUAACUGGGUUACUUAGUUCCUAUAAAAUUUCCAUCUAGGCCUGUCAAGGUCUUUACUAGGCUUGUUUAUGUUAACCUUAAAUUGGCCCCUGUUCAGGUUCAUUACAGUUUUGAUGGGUUCAGCCUUAAUUGAGCUUAGUUACAUACUGUGAGCUGCUAGGAUAUGAAGUUUACCACAAGCUAUGGAAGAAAUCUAUAAGCUGUACAGGCAUAUAUCUGUUCGAGGUAUUGAUGCCCACACUAGCUGAAAUCAUAGUUUAAUAAGCCAAAUGAGCUUCAUUUAAGUGCAUAUGUUGUAAUUGAGUAUGCUAUAGCUCAGAGCCUCAUUUCUAUGAAUUCUGUUUUAUUGUUUGUUACCUGAAGAUGCAACUUAGAAAACUGAAGAAAAGGGAAGAAUGAAGAAAGAGGAGUUAGUAGUGGAUGUACCUUAGGUGGGCCUUCCAAAGCAUUUGUGCAAUAUAGCCUGGCAUUGUCAACCAAUUGGCAGUAUGUUGUAAAUGCAUUUGCAAAUCUCUUGUGGGAUUUCAACUGUGACUUCACCCUGACAGCUCUUCUAGUUAAGAUAGCUCUCCUUUAAGAACUCCCAACAUCCGCAUUAAUACAUCAGUAUACAAGAAAAAUGACUUUUUUCCCUUAUUUUGAACAUGAAAAGUAGAAUAUAAUACCCAUCAAACAGUAAGUAGUUUGUAGCAUACCUUAUGCCUCUAAUAACUGCUAGAUAAGCAUCACAAACAACUCCAACCAGCUCUAUCCUGUAUGGUUUUCUCUUUUUUCCCCCGACUUUUUCUUGUUCUUCUUCAACCUGUUCCCAGUAGUUUUCAGUUACAGUUCCGUCUUCCGCUACCCUGUAACCAACUCCCAUGCGGUAACGGCGGCGGUGGACGUUCCUGGCCAUGGUUAUCGUCUGCACAACAAAGGGUACCCAGGAGAGUGUUCCAUCCAUUAUCACAUCCCGCCCUUCAUUUAGUGCUGUCACCAAGAGGGAUGAUGCUGCAUCGGUAGAUGACUGGUGCACCUGUUUGGUAUCAGAGACAAAAAGGAUAUUCAAAACUCAAGAAUGCAGUCGGGGAAUGGACCAAGUUUAGAAGGGGGAAUUGAAGGAGAAAAUUCAAAUCAUAUCAAACCAUGUAUGAAAGGACUCAUCCACAGGAUAUUCUCAGUUUUUUGGAGGUUGCUGACGAAAUUGGAAGAGGUGGUUUGCUACCUCAGAUUGGUAACUCAUGAAAAUAGAGUAGCAGUUGAUUACCUAGUCAGAAUUAACAUCUGCAUCUGCAUCAGCAUCAGCAUCAGCAUCAGACUCCAUCACAAGUAUUUUCUAAAAUUUAUGACACAACUCAAAAGUU
This is a long non-coding RNA of Vitis vinifera (wine grape), 5664 nucleotides long. RefSeq lists it as uncharacterized. Lineage: Eukaryota; Viridiplantae; Streptophyta; Magnoliopsida; Vitales; Vitaceae. The transcript is spliced from 3 exons. The record is from RefSeq and is a predicted model, not a curated record.